UGGGAGCAAAGAGGGGGACCUUCGGGCCUCUCGCGCUAAGAUUGGCCCAGGUGGGAUUAGCUAGUAGGUGGGGUAACGGCUCACCUAGGCGACGAUCCCUAGCUGGUCUGAGAGGAUGAUCAGCCACACUGGAACUGAGACACGGUCCAGACUCCUACGGGAGGCAGCAGUGGGGAAUAUUGCACAAUGGGGGAAACCCUGAUGCAGCCAUGCCGCGUGUGUGAAGAAGGCCUUCGGGUUGUAAAGCACUUUCAGUCGUGAGGAAGGCGGUAUCGUUAACAGCGGUAUCGUUUGACGUUAGCGACAGAAGAAGCACCGGCUAACUCCGUGCCAGCAGCCGCGGUAAUACGGAGGGUGCGAGCGUUAAUCGGAAUUACUGGGCGUAAAGCGCAUGCAGGCGGCUUGUUAAGCCAGAUGUGAAAGCCCGGGGCUCAACCUCGGAAUCGCAUUUGGAACUGGCAGGCUAGAGUCUUGUAGAGGGGGGUAGAAUUUCAGGUGUAGCGGUGAAAUGCGUAGAGAUCUGAAGGAAUACCGGUGGCGAAGGCGGCCCCCUGGACAAAGACUGACGCUC
This 571-nucleotide ribosomal RNA is filed under the name Motilimonas cestriensis. Its description in RNAcentral is "16S ribosomal RNA". It matches the Rfam family "Bacterial small subunit ribosomal RNA", at positions 196 to 748 of the family's 1533-position model. The record is from RNAcentral. Lineage: Bacteria; Pseudomonadati; Pseudomonadota; Gammaproteobacteria; Alteromonadales.